RNAcentral lists this long non-coding RNA (227 nucleotides) under Daucus carota (carrot). Its description in RNAcentral is "long non-coding RNA (DCAR_LNC007477)". The record is from RNAcentral. Lineage: Eukaryota; Viridiplantae; Streptophyta; Magnoliopsida; Apiales; Apiaceae.
GGUUUCAAUCGUUUUUAGUGGAUUUACCUAAAACUUGCUAUCCUGCAUUAGUUAGAGAAUUUUAUGCGAAUCUACAGUUGGUUGGAUCUGAUCAGUAUGUGUCGUAUGUGUCGGAUGUGAAGAUUUGUCUCUCCUCUAUGUUUUUGGGGGCUAUACUUAAAUGUCCACCAUCUACUCUGUCUAUACAUACUAAAAGAGGUCCUAAGGAUAUUGAAGGUUUUGCUCAU